RNAcentral lists this ribosomal RNA (445 nucleotides) under uncultured bacterium. RNAcentral's name for it is "bacterial SSU rRNA". It matches the Rfam family "Bacterial small subunit ribosomal RNA", at positions 330 to 792 of the family's 1533-position model. The record is from RNAcentral.
UCCAGACUCCUACGGGAGGCAGCAGUGGGGAAUAUUGCACAAUGGGGGGAACCCUGAUGCAGCGACGCCGCGUGGGUGAAGGAGCACCUCGGUGCGUAAAGCCCUAUCGGCAGGGAAGAAACAGACGGUACCUGACUAAGAAGCCCCGGCUAACUACGUGCCAGCAGCCGCGGUAAUACGUAGGGGGCAAGCGUUAUCCGGAUUCACUGGGUGUAAAGGGAGCGUAGACGGCGACGCAAGUCUGGAGUGAAAGCCCGGGGCCCAACCCCGGGACUGCUCUGGAAACUGCGGCGCUGGAGUACGGGAGGGGCAGGCGGAAUUCCUGGUGUAGCGGUAAAACGCGUAGAUAUAUGGAAGAACACCAGUGGCGAAGGCGGCCGCCUGGCCUGUUGCUGACGCUGAGGCACGAAAGCGUGGGGAGCAAAUAGGAUUAGAUACCCCAGUA